RNAcentral lists this ribosomal RNA (360 nucleotides) under Rallicola sp. VSS-2003. RNAcentral's name for it is "partial 12S ribosomal RNA". The record is from RNAcentral. Lineage: Eukaryota; Metazoa; Arthropoda; Insecta; Psocodea; Philopteridae.
GGAUUAGAUACCCUAUUAUUCAGAAUAAUGAAGCCCUCUAUGUGUAAAGAAUUACUGCUGGCGGUUCACCUUCCUCCUAGAGGGCUAUGCGUUGGAGAAUGAAUUUGCACAACAAAUCCUUCCCUCUCUGGAGAUCGCCCAUUCUGUACACCUCUGUCUUAAAGAGGGGGGGAAGGACCCCUCUCCCUUCCUGAAGAGAGGAGAAAGACAAGUAAAGGUGCAGACUAUGAGAGGGACUAGCGUGUAAUCCAAUCCUACGUGAUCUAGAUGGGAAGAAGAAGGAGAGAAUUUAGGACGUAAGAGAAGUUUAUCAAACCUCUCUGAACAGGUUCAGGUGAACGUACACAUCGCCCGUCGCUC